GGAAGCCGGUGCGAUUCCGGCGCGGUCGCGCCACUGUGACGCGAGAGCAGCGGGCUCCUGCGAAGCCAGAC
Molecule: non-coding RNA, 71 nt
Filed under: Gordonia sputi
Lineage: Bacteria; Bacillati; Actinomycetota; Actinomycetes; Mycobacteriales; Gordoniaceae
Source: RNAcentral